GCCAGGUGUGGUGGCGCACACCUGUAAUCCCAGCUACUCAGGAGGCUGAGACAGGAGAAUUGUUUGAACCUGGGAGGCAGGGGCUGCAGUGAGCUGAGAUCACACCACUGCAUUCCAGCCUGGGUGACAGAGACAGAUUCUGUCUCAA
RNAcentral lists this non-coding RNA (148 nucleotides) under Homo sapiens (human). Lineage: Eukaryota; Metazoa; Chordata; Mammalia; Primates; Hominidae. The record is from Rfam by way of RNAcentral.